CCUACGGGAGGCAGCAGUAGGGAAUCUUCCACAAUGGGCGAAACCCUGAUGGAGCAACGCCGCGUGGGUGAAGAAGGUCUUCGGAUUGUAAAACCCUGUUGUCAGAGAAGAAAGUGGGUGAGAGUAACUGUUCACGUUUCGACGGUAUCUAACCAGAAAGCCACGGCUAACUACGUGCCAGCAGCCGGGGUAAUACGUAGGUGGCAAGCGUUAUCCGGAUUUAUUGGGCGUAAAGGGAACGCAGGCGGUCUUUUAAGUCUGAUGUGAAAGCCUUGGGCUUAACCGGAGUAGUGCAUUGGAAACUGGGAGACUGGAGUGCAGAAGAGGAGAGUGGAACUCCAGGUGUAGCGGUGAAAUGCGUAGAUAUAUGGAAGAACACCAGUGGCGAAGGCGGCCCUCUGGUCUGUAACUGACGCUGAGGUUCGAAAGCGUGGGGAGCAAACAGGAUUAGAUACCCUAGUAGUC
RNAcentral lists this ribosomal RNA (465 nucleotides) under uncultured bacterium. RNAcentral describes it as "partial 16S ribosomal RNA". It matches the Rfam family "Bacterial small subunit ribosomal RNA", at positions 338 to 795 of the family's 1533-position model. The record is from RNAcentral.